This is a long non-coding RNA of Dermochelys coriacea (leatherback sea turtle), 748 nucleotides long. RefSeq lists it as uncharacterized. The transcript is spliced from 3 exons. Lineage: Eukaryota; Metazoa; Chordata; Testudines; Dermochelyidae. The record is from RefSeq and is a predicted model, not a curated record.
AUCAUGUUGCUACAGUCUGCGGCAGAAGACAGGAUCUGAAGCCACAUCCCUCUGCUUCAUCCUGUUAGUGGUUGGAACCAAACAGGGAAAAGAAGAAAGUCCCCAAAGCCUAGCAGAAUGGAGAGAGGAGGGUGGCGCACAUUCUACAAGUUUGAAUCUGCAGAGGCAACAUUCCCAAAGAAUCAGUUACUAUGAGACUGGACUGGAGAAACAUCUGAGGCACUAGGCCUGAAGAACCCUGACUCUCAACUGGACUGUCCAGGGACCCAAACAAGAACCACUAUUGCUCACUUUGAAUUAUACCUGUUUAAACCUCCAUACCAAGGGUAUUUUCAAUCAUCCCCUUUCCUGCCAGCGCUUGUAAAAACCUUUCCCUGAGCCACGUGUCUGAGUGGUGAUUGGGAACACCACUAGGACUAGUGCCUACAAGCUGUAGCUGCUGAUGUACCUGCAGUGUUGCCUCCGAGACACAGUGCACUCAGCAGGCUACUGGCAUCCCAAUAAUUACAAAACCUUUCUAUAACCAUGGCUUAAAGAUUCUAUAAAGGCUCAGUACAGACAAGGUUUGUGUUUAGUAAAAGAAGAACUUGCCCAGCUCUAUACUUUAAUCUUCCCUAUUAAUGUUAUCCUCCUAUAAAGACAAUGCAACCUAUAAGAUCCAAGGUACCAGUCAUUUAGGUCAAAUUUGCCAAAAGUUAUUUUCCAGUGGUGUAUGGCUGUGUAAUAGCAGCUUUCAUGUCUUAGGAGA